RNAcentral lists this ribosomal RNA (443 nucleotides) under uncultured bacterium. Its description in RNAcentral is "SSU rRNA". It matches the Rfam family "Bacterial small subunit ribosomal RNA", at positions 26 to 518 of the family's 1533-position model. The record is from RNAcentral.
AGAACGAACGCUGGCGGCAGGCUUAACACAUGCAAGUCGAGCGCCCAGCAAGGGGAGCGGCAGACGGGUGAGUAACGCGUGGGAACAUACCCUCCGGUUCGGAAUAGCUCAGGGAAACUUGGAUUAAUACCGGAUACGGCCUAGCGGCGAAAGAUUCAUCGCCGGAGGAUUGGCCCGCGUCUGAUUAGCUAGUUGGUGGGGUAAUGGCCCACCAAGGCGACGAUCAGUAGCUGGUCUGAGAGGAUGAUCAGCCACAUUGGGACUGAGACACGGCCCAAACUCCUACGGGAGGCAGCAGUGGGGAAUAUUGGACAAUGGGCGCAAGCCUGAUCCAGCCAUGCCGCGUGAGUGAUGACGGCCUUAGGGUUGUAAAGCUCUUUCGCUAGGGACGAUAAUGACGGUACCUAGACAAGAAGCCCGGCUAACUUCGCGCCAGCAGCCGC